GUAGGUGGCAAGCGUUGUCCGGGAAUUAUUGGGGCGUAAAGCGCGCGCAGGCGGUUCUUUAAGUCUGAUGUGAAAGCCCACGGGCUCAACCGUGGAGGGUCAUUGGAAACUGGAGAACUUGAGUACAGAAGAGGAAAGCGGAAUUCCACGUGUAGCGGUGAAAUGCGUAGAGAUGUGGAGGAACACCAGUGGCGAAGGCGGCUUUCUGGUCUGUAACUGACGCUGAGGCGCGAAAGCGUGUGGAGCAAACAGGAUUAGAUACCCUGGUAGUCCACGCCGUAAACGAUGAGUGCUAAGUGUUAGGGGGUUUCCGCCCCUUAGUGCUGCAGCUAACGCAUUAAGCACUCCGCCUGGGGAGUACGGCCGCAAAGGCUG
RNAcentral lists this ribosomal RNA (375 nucleotides) under uncultured organism. RNAcentral describes it as "partial 16S ribosomal RNA". It matches the Rfam family "Bacterial small subunit ribosomal RNA", at positions 527 to 896 of the family's 1533-position model. The record is from RNAcentral.